RNAcentral lists this ribosomal RNA (222 nucleotides) under uncultured bacterium. RNAcentral describes it as "partial 16S ribosomal RNA". It matches the Rfam family "Bacterial small subunit ribosomal RNA", at positions 524 to 745 of the family's 1533-position model. The record is from RNAcentral.
UACGUAGGGGGCGAGCGUUGUCCGGAGUUACUGGGCGUAAAGCGCACGCAGGCGGUCUGCUAAGUUUGGAGUGACAGUUGGUGGCUCAACCACCAAAGUGCUUUGAAAACUGACAGACUUGAGGGCUUCAGAGGGACACGGAAUUCCGGGUGGAGUGGUGAAAUGCGUAGAGAUCCGGAGGAACACCGAAGGCGAAGGCAGUGUCCUGGGGAGUACCUGACG